AUUGAACGCUGGCGGCAGGCCUAAACACAUGCAAGUCGAGCGGAUGAAAGGAGCUUGCUCCUGGAUUCAGCGGCGGACGGGUGAGUAAUGCCUAGGAAAUCUGCCUGGUAGUGGGGGACAACGUUUCGAAAGGAACGCUAAUACCGCAUACGUCCUACGGGAGAAAGCAGGGGACCUUCGGGCCUUGCGCUAUCAGAUGAGCCUAGGUCGGAUUAGCUAGUUGGUGAGGUAAUGGCUCACCAAGGCGACGAUCCGUAACUGGUCUGAGAGGAUGAUCAGUCACACUGGAACUGAGACACGGUCCAGACUCCUACGGGAGGCAGCAGUGGGGAAUAUUGGACAAUGGGCGAAAGCCUGAUCCAGCCAUGCCGCGUGUGUGAAGAAGGUCUUCGGAUUGUAAAGCACUUUAAGUUGGGAGGAAGGGUUGUAGAUUAAUACUCUGCAAUUUUGACGUUACCGACAGAAUAAGCACCGGCUAACUCUGUGCCAGCAGCCGCGGUAAUACAGAGGGUGCAAGCGUUAAUCGGAAUUACUGGGCGUAAAGCGCGCGUAGGUGGUUUGUUAAGUUGGAUGUGAAAUCCCCGGGCUCAACCUGGGAACUGCAUCCAAAACUGGCAAGCUAGAGUAUGGUAGAGGGUGGUGGAAUUUCCUGUGUAGCGGUGAAAUGCGUAGAUAUAGGAAGGAACACCAGUGGCGAAGGCGACCACCUGGACUGAUACUGACACUGAGGUGCGAAAGCGUGGGGAGCAAACAGG
RNAcentral lists this ribosomal RNA (755 nucleotides) under uncultured Pseudomonas sp. RNAcentral's name for it is "bacterial SSU rRNA". It matches the Rfam family "Bacterial small subunit ribosomal RNA", at positions 28 to 776 of the family's 1533-position model. Lineage: Bacteria; Pseudomonadati; Pseudomonadota; Gammaproteobacteria; Pseudomonadales; Pseudomonadaceae. The record is from RNAcentral.